GCUCAGGACGAACGCUGGCGGCGUGCCUAAUACAUGCAAGUCGAGCGGGGUURUKUAGAAGCUUGCUUCUAMAYAACCUAGCGGCGGACGGGUGAGUAACACGUAGGCAACCUGCCCACAAGACAGGGAUAACUACCGGAAACGGUAGCUAAUACCCGAUACAUCCUUUUCCUGCAUGGGAGAAGGAGGAAAGACGGAGCAAUCUGUCACUUGUGGAUGGGCCUGCGGCGCAUUAGCUAGUUGGUGGGGUAAAGGCCUACCAAGGCGACGAUGCGUAGCCGACCUGAGAGGGUGAUCGGCCACACUGGGACUGAGACACGGCCCAGACUCCUACGGGAGGCAGCAGUAGGGAAUCUUCCGCAAUGGGCGAAAGCCUGACGGAGCAACGCCGCGUGAGUGAUGAAGGUUUUCGGAUCGUAAAGCUCUGUUGCCAGGGAAGAACGUCUUGUAGAGUAACUGCUACAAGAGU
RNAcentral lists this ribosomal RNA (469 nucleotides) under Paenibacillus sp. R-45812. Its description in RNAcentral is "bacterial SSU rRNA". It matches the Rfam family "Bacterial small subunit ribosomal RNA", at positions 22 to 470 of the family's 1533-position model. Lineage: Bacteria; Bacillati; Bacillota; Bacilli; Caryophanales; Paenibacillaceae. The record is from RNAcentral.